GGUUCAUUGCGAUCCCAAGGUUCACUGCGGUUUUCCACAAGCCUGUUUCUGCCUAUCACCAUGAGUGAUUCCUUGAUACUCAGAUUGAUAAUCAAGAUCUCAAUUAUAACCUCAAGUCUUGAUGACAGCUUGAUGAUCUCCAAGAAGCACCACCAUGUAAAGAAGGCCAAGACCACUCUGGAAUCAGUCAAGGCUCAUAGGAACUCCAAUCUUCCCAACUGUGAGAGGGCCUUGCUCCAGUGGCUGUUGGUGAAAUGGAGUGAGGCAUACCAGGAUAUGUGUGGUUUUACUCUUGGGAAGGAGGUUGAACAGUUCAAUAUUUCUUCUAUAGGAUUGGAGUGACCAGACAUGCUACUGUAACUCUCAUGGUCAUGUGCUGGAAUUAGCAGAUAUUCAACAAUUUGGCCAUCUCGCUGACCUGUUGAUUUCAGAAGACUGCAACAGCUCUGCAAAGCAAGUUGCAAAACACAAUCCAUGGAACUGGCAGUGACCGGAAACCAAUUGGAAGACUUUGGUCUGUGAUGUAGAGGAGAGGGCAGGUGAGGAAAUUAUUAUUAAUAUUACAUGUAGUCAUGAAAUAUUGUAAGUGUUACUAUUAUUGUUAUUAUUUUUUUUUUCAGUAGCAGACGCAAAGACAACAAAAAACAGAAGUGAUAUGGAUGUCUUCGUCAUAUGGCAUGACUCUGUCGAUCCAGCAACAAAGAGGAGGGUGUUCAACAUCAUCCUGCUAGUCAGGAUUCUUCAGGAGAAGCAGCGGAUUAUUGUGGCAGAGAUGGCCAACCACUAUAAAUAAUAAUAUAAAAAGUACUGGUAUGUAUUUGUAUUUUUUGGCACAUAAAGCAUAAGGUUACCCAGUCCAAAGGAUACUAAUAUAUUUUAAUGUUGUUGUGUUCUUCUUUUAAGAUUCGGCAUGUGGCCUAAAUGAAGAGGGGUUAAAAGGUCUGUUGAUCAUCCUUCUCAGAAAGCAGCAAAAUAACUGAGAAAUAAACAACAAUACAAUGGUGCAAUCUAGAGACCUGCAAGGUACCUGCAAGUUUUGGCUGGAGCAGUGAACAGACAUUUUUUUUAAAUAAAGCUCCAGCUGAUGAGUAUGACAUUGACUGUGGAUUUUCUUUUACUGUAAUCCAGAAGAGGAUGACCUUAACCCUGAAUCUAAAGCAUGUAAUAAAAUCUGUAAAAAAAUAAAUUUUCAUCAUCUAUAACCAAA
RNAcentral lists this long non-coding RNA (1207 nucleotides) under Danio rerio (zebrafish). RNAcentral describes it as "si:dkey-188k17.2 (ENSDARG00000104522.2)". The record is from RNAcentral. Lineage: Eukaryota; Metazoa; Chordata; Actinopteri; Cypriniformes; Danionidae.